Molecule: transfer RNA, 69 nt
Filed under: Yezoterpnosia nigricosta
Lineage: Eukaryota; Metazoa; Arthropoda; Insecta; Hemiptera; Cicadidae
Description: tRNA-Tyr
Source: RNAcentral
AUUGAGAUGGCUGAUAAAAGUAAUAAAUUGUAAAUUUAUUAAUGAAUUUAAUUAAUAAUUCUCUCAAUA